GGAUUAGAUACCCUGGUAGUCCACGCCCUAAACGAUGAGUGCUAGAUAUCGGGAGCUUAGCUUUCGGUUUCGCAGCUAACGCAUUAAGCACUCCGCCUGGGGAGUACGGUCGCAAGAUUAAAACUCAAAGGAAUUGACGGGGGCCCGCACAAGCGGUGGAGCAUGCGGUUUAAUUCGAUGUUACGCGAAAAACCUUACCAACCCUUGACAUGGUGGUCGCGGAUCGCAGAGAUGCUUUCCUUCAGUUCGGCUGGAUCGGUGACAGGUGCUGCAUGGCUGUCGUCAGCUCGUGUUG
This 295-nucleotide ribosomal RNA is filed under the name uncultured bacterium. Its description in RNAcentral is "partial 16S ribosomal RNA". It matches the Rfam family "Bacterial small subunit ribosomal RNA", at positions 775 to 1067 of the family's 1533-position model. The record is from RNAcentral.